GACGAACGCUGGCGGCGUGCUUAACACAUGCAAGUCGAACGGAAAGGCCCUGCUUUUGUGGGGUGCUCGAGUGGCGAACGGGUGAGUAACACGUGAGUAACCUGCCCUUGACUUUGGGAUAACUUCAGGAAACUGGGGCUAAUACCGGAUAGGAGCUCCUGCUGCAUGGUGGGGGUUUGAAAGUUUCGGCGGUUGGGGAUGGACUCGCGGCUUAUCAGCUUGUUGGUGGGUAGUGGCUUACCAAGGCUUUGACGGGUAGCCGGCCUGAGAGGGUGACCGGCCACAUUGGGACUGAGAUACGGCCCAGACUCCUACGGGAGGCAGCAGUGGGGAAUAUUGCACAAUGGGCGGAAGCCUGAUGCAGCAACGCCGCGUGCGGGAUGACGGCCUUCGGGUUGUAAACCGCUUUCGCCUGUGACGAAGCGUGAGUGACGGUAAUGGGUAAAGAAGCACCGGCUAACUACGUG
RNAcentral lists this ribosomal RNA (467 nucleotides) under uncultured bacterium. RNAcentral describes it as "partial 16S ribosomal RNA". It matches the Rfam family "Bacterial small subunit ribosomal RNA", at positions 28 to 507 of the family's 1533-position model. The record is from RNAcentral.